RNAcentral lists this ribosomal RNA (497 nucleotides) under uncultured bacterium. RNAcentral describes it as "partial 16S ribosomal RNA". It matches the Rfam family "Bacterial small subunit ribosomal RNA", at positions 28 to 507 of the family's 1533-position model. The record is from RNAcentral.
GAUGAACGCUGGCGGCGUGCCUAAUACAUGCAAGUCGAGCGAACAGACGAGGAGCUUGCUCCUCUGACGUUAGCGGCGGACGGGUGAGUAACACGUGGAUAACCUACCUAUAAGACUGGGAUAACUUCGGGAAACCGGAGCUAAUACCGGAUAAUAUAUUGAACCGCAUGGUUCAAUAGUGAAAGACGGUUUUGCUGUCACUUAUAGAUGGAUCCGCGCCGCAUUAGCUAGUUGGUAAGGUAACGGCUUACCAAGGCAACGAUGCGUAGCCGACCUGAGAGGGUGAUCAGCCACACUGGAACUGAGACACGGUCCAGACUCCUACGGGAGGCAGCAGUAGGGAAUCUUGCGCAAUGGGCGCAAGCCUGACGCAGCCACGCCGCGUGAGUGAUGAAGGUCUUCGGAUCGUAAAACUCUGUUAUUAGGGAAGAACACAUCUGUAAGUAACUAUGCACGUGUUGACGGUACCUAAUCAGAAAGCCACGGCUAACUACGUG